GAAUUUUCGACAGCGUCACCUCCUCCCGACCCUGUCGAAACGGACGGUCUCUUCUCCUCCCAGAAGACCCUCCAUAACCAACGAAACCCACCGCACCUCCUCCCGCGGUGGGUUUUGUUG
This is a small RNA of Phyllobacterium sp. YR531, 120 nucleotides long. It matches the Rfam family "Alphaproteobacterial ar14". From Rfam's summary of the family: Smr14C2 was renamed NfeR1 (Nodule Formation Efficiency RNA) highly expressed in salt stress and during the symbiotic interaction on legume roots. Lineage: Bacteria; Pseudomonadati; Pseudomonadota; Alphaproteobacteria; Hyphomicrobiales; Phyllobacteriaceae. The record is from Rfam.